Melitaea cinxia (Glanville fritillary) is the source of this 944-nucleotide long non-coding RNA. RefSeq lists it as uncharacterized. The record is from RefSeq and is a predicted model, not a curated record. Lineage: Eukaryota; Metazoa; Arthropoda; Insecta; Lepidoptera; Nymphalidae. The transcript is spliced from 2 exons.
AUUAUCACGUUACACCGGGUAAAAGUGAAAGUUAGUUAUUAGUAAAACGUGACAAAUAUUGAUAAAGAGACAUAAACAAAGAAGCAAUAAGGUUAUAAAAUACUAUUUUACUUUUUUGCUAAGCGUUUUGGCCUUACUCCUGUUGGUUUGGUGUUCUUGGAAACAACAGCGUCCGAACCAGAAACUGUUGUUGAAGCAGUUUGAGCAGACAAAAUUCUUUGGAGUUCAGUAGCAUUCGUUAUGCGAUGUUGCGUCCCGUCUGGACCAAUGCAGAUGAUAGUGCCAUCUUUAGUCCAGCAUUUAGAGAUGCCUAAACGCUCUCGAGCCAUUAGAAAGGCAUCAUGACGAGACUUAGUCAAAAAUUCGGAGAUUGUAAUACCCGUUCCCUUCAGUUUGCUCUUAGCAAACCAAACUUUAUUUUUUAAGGAUAUCUCACGAAAUUUCACUAGGAUUGGCCGAGGUUUUGUUGGAUCCUGACGUCCAAAUCUUUGACAACGACUUAUUGUAUCAUCUGAAAUAUCAGGUAUACCAUGGAUAAGUAGCAUUUUCUUCCUUGUUCUCAUUUCCAUCUGGUCGCAUUGCCCCGAAAUAGCCUCGAUUUGAGUUUGCAGACUUUCAAGCGCACACAAUACAAACGAGCGAAACGCAGUGAAUUGAGCAGCUAUGUGGGAGACGGGGCUUGAUGGUGGAGUUGAAGCAAUCUGAAGAUCCUUUUGAAACUCAGCCAUUCUGAUAUUAAACGUCUGGGCCAUCUCAGUUAUCGACUGCUUUAUUGACUCCAUGAUGUUUAAAGGAAGAUUUAUGAGGUCUAAAGAUUGAUAGAUCUUGUAAUUUAUUAUUAUAAGGAUUUUAGCUGGUGUACAGGGGAUCUCAAUAUAUCAUUAUAUUAACGAAAAAUAAACAAAAAUCACUAAUUUAAGUAAAUAAAUACAGAGCAAACAAAA